RNAcentral lists this ribosomal RNA (460 nucleotides) under uncultured bacterium. RNAcentral describes it as "partial 16S ribosomal RNA". It matches the Rfam family "Bacterial small subunit ribosomal RNA", at positions 338 to 795 of the family's 1533-position model. The record is from RNAcentral.
CCUACGGGAGGCAGCAGUGAGGAAUAUUGGUCAAUGGGCUUACGCCUGAACCAGCCAAGUCGCGUGAGGGAAGACUGCCCUAUGGGUUGUAAACCUCUUUUGUCAGGGAGCAACGCCGGCUACGUGUAGCCGGACUGAGAGUACCUGCAGAAAAAGCAUCGGCUAACUCCGUGCCAGCAGCCGCGGUAAUACGGAGGAUGCGAGCGUUAUCCGGAUUGAUUGGGUUUAAAGGGUGCGUAGGCGGAAUGCCAAGUCAGCGGUAAAAUCGCGGGGCUCAACCUCGCUCCGCCGUUGAAACUGGCGUUCUUGAGUGGGCGAGAAGUAUGCGGAAUGCGUGGUGUAGCGGUGAAAUGCAUAGAUAUCACGCAGAACUCCGAUUGCGAAGGCAGCAUACCGGCGCCCAACUGACGCUGAAGCACGAAAGCGUGGGUAUCGAACAGGAUUAGAUACCCUUGUAGUC